Molecule: ribosomal RNA, 407 nt
Filed under: uncultured bacterium
Lineage: Bacteria
Description: partial 16S ribosomal RNA
Rfam family: Bacterial small subunit ribosomal RNA
Source: RNAcentral
AUUGAACGCUGGCGGCAGGCCUAACACAUGCAAGUCGAGCGGAGCGGCGGACGGGUGAGUAAUGCCUAGGAAUCUGCCUGGGAGUGGGGGAUAACGUCCGGAAACGGACGCUAAUACCGCAUCCUCUCAGAUGAGCCUGGGUCGGAGUAGAUAGGUGGUGGGGUAAAGGCCUACCAAGGCGACGAUCCGUAACUGUUCUGAGAGGAUGAUCAGUCAAACCGGAACUGAGACACGGUCCAGACUCCUACGGGAGGCAGCAGUGGGUAAUAUUGGACAAUGGGGGAAAGCCUGAGCCAGCCAUGCCGCGUGUGUGAAGAAGGUCUUCGGAUUGUAAAGCACUUUAAGUUGGGAGGCGUUACCAACAGAAUAAGCACCGGCUAACUCCGUGCCAGCAGCCGCGGUAAUAC